RNAcentral lists this ribosomal RNA (253 nucleotides) under uncultured bacterium. Its description in RNAcentral is "partial 16S ribosomal RNA". It matches the Rfam family "Bacterial small subunit ribosomal RNA", at positions 524 to 776 of the family's 1533-position model. The record is from RNAcentral.
UACGGGGGGGGCAAGCGUUGUUCGGAAUUACUGGGCGUAAAGGGCUCGUAGGCGGCCAACUAAGUCGGAUGUGAAAUCCCCAGGCUCAACCUGGGAACUGCAUCCGAUACUGGAUGGCUUGAAUUCGGGAGAGGGAUGCAGAAUUCCAGGUGUAGCGGUGAAAUGCGUAGAUAUCUGGAGGAACACCGGUGGCGAAGGCGGCGUCCUGGACCAACACUGACACUGAUGAGCGAAAGCCAGGGGAGCAAACGGG